AUACGAACUGUGCAAACGUUAUUCGGAAUCACUGGGCUUAAAGGGUGCGUAGGCGGACUUGAAGGUCCGAUGUGAAAUCCCACGGCUCAACCGUGGAAUUGCGUCGGAAACCACAAGUCUUGAGGGAGUCAGAGGUAAGCGGAACUGAUGGUGGAGCGGUGAAAUGCGUUGAUAUCAUCAGGAACACCGGUGGCGAAAGCGGCUUACUGGGACUUUUCUGACGCUGAGGCACGAAAGCUAGGGGAGCGAACGGGAUUAGAAACCCUAGUAGUCC
RNAcentral lists this ribosomal RNA (274 nucleotides) under uncultured bacterium. RNAcentral's name for it is "partial 16S ribosomal RNA". It matches the Rfam family "Bacterial small subunit ribosomal RNA", at positions 523 to 796 of the family's 1533-position model. The record is from RNAcentral.